This 450-nucleotide ribosomal RNA is filed under the name uncultured bacterium. Its description in RNAcentral is "partial 16S ribosomal RNA". It matches the Rfam family "Bacterial small subunit ribosomal RNA", at positions 354 to 796 of the family's 1533-position model. The record is from RNAcentral.
GUGGGGAAUUUUGGACAAUGGGCGCAAGCCUGAUCCAGCAAUGCCGCGUGCAGGAAGAAGGCCUUCGGGUUGUAAACUGCUUUUGUACGGAACGAAAAGGCUCUGGUUAAUACCUGGGGCUCAUGACGGUACCGUAAGAAUAAGCACUGGCUAACUACGUGCCAGCAGCCGCGGUAAUACGUAGGGUGCAAGCGUUAAUCGGAAUUACUGGGCGUAAAGCGUGCGCAGGCGGUUUUGUAAGACAGGCGUGAAAUCCCCGGGCUCAACCUGGGAAUGGCGCUUGUGACUGCAAAGCUGGAGUGCGGCAGAGGGGGAGGGAAUUCCGCGUGUAGCAGUGAAAUGCGUAGAUAUGCGGAGGAACACCGAUGGCGAAGGCAAUCCCCUGGGCCUGCACUGACGCUCAUGCACGAAAGCGUGGGGAGCAAACAGGAUUAGAUACCCGUGUAGUCC